GAUGAACGCUGGCGGCGUGCCUAAUACAUGCAAGUCGAGCGAACGGACGAGAAGCUUGCUUCUCUGAUGUUAGCGGCGGACGGGUGAGUAACACGUGGAUAACCUACCUAUAAGACUGGGAUAACUUCGGGAAACCGGAGCUAAUACCGGAUAAUAUUUUGAACCGCAUGGUUCAAAAGUGAAAGACGGUCUUGCUGUCACUUAUAGAUGGAUCCGCGCUGCAUUAGCUAGUUGGUAAGGUAACGGCUUACCAAGGCAACGAUGCAUAGCCGACCUGAGAGGGUGAUCGGCCGCACGGGAACUGAGACACGGUCCAGACUCCUACGGGAGGCAGCAGUAGGGAAUCUUCCGCAAUGGGCGAAAGCCUGACGGAGCAACGCGGCGUGAGUGAUGAAGGUCCUCGGAUCGUAAAACUCUGUUAUUAGGGAAGAACAUAUGUGUAAGUAACUGUGCACAUCUUGACGGUACCUAAUCAGAAAGCCACGGCUAACUACGUG
Molecule: ribosomal RNA, 497 nt
Filed under: uncultured bacterium
Lineage: Bacteria
Description: partial 16S ribosomal RNA
Rfam family: Bacterial small subunit ribosomal RNA
Source: RNAcentral